UAGAGGAAGUAAAAGUCGUAACAAGGUCUCCGUUGGUGAACCAGCGGAGGGAUCAUUACUGAGUUUACGCUCUAUAACCCUUUGUGAACAUACCUAUAACUGUUGCUUCGGCGGGUAGGGUCUCCGUGACCCUCCCGGCCUCCCGCCCCCGGGCGGGUCGGCGCCCGCCGGAGGAUAACCAAACUCUGAUUUAACGACGUUUCUUCUGAGUGGUACAAGCAAAUAAUCAAAACUUUUAACAACGGAUCUCUUGGUUCUGGCAUCGAUGAAGAACGCAGCGAAAUGCGAUAAGUAAUGUGAAUUGCAGAAUUCAGUGAAUCAUCGAAUCUUUGAACGCACAUUGCGCCCGCCAGCAUUCUGGCGGGCAUGCCUGUUCGAGCGUCAUUUCAACCCUCAAGCUCUGCUUGGUGUUGGGGCCCUACAGCUGAUGUAGGCCCUCAAAGGUAGUGGCGGACCCUCCCGGAGCCUCCUUUGCGUAGUAACUUUACGUCUCGCACUGGGAUCCGGAGGGACUCUUGCCGUAAAACCCCCCAAUUUUCCAAAGGUUGACCUCGGAUCAGGUAGGAAUACCCGCUGAACUUAAGCAUAUCAAUA
This 594-nucleotide ribosomal RNA is filed under the name Colletotrichum siamense. RNAcentral describes it as "eukaryotic LSU rRNA". The stretch from base 231 to 384 matches the Rfam family "5.8S ribosomal RNA". The record is from RNAcentral. Lineage: Eukaryota; Fungi; Ascomycota; Sordariomycetes; Glomerellales; Glomerellaceae. RNAcentral also lists the same sequence under 1 other name.